AAAAUUCAUGUGUAAUAGGUAAACUUUUUACUAUUAAUUGUUUCAUCUAAGGCAAAUGGUGUAUCAAUACCUUUUUCUGAUUGAAAAAAGAAUUUGUGGUCUCUCCGAUUUAAAAUUUGGUGUCCAAGUGAAUAUGUGAGCAAUACUAGCAUGCAGAGUCAGUUUGUUUUAAAAAAUAGAUUUUUUUAAAUGAAUUUUAUAAAACAUUUUUUUUGUUUUUUUUUUAAAUUGAAAAACUAAUUUUAACAUCCUACAAAAUAAGUAUAUCUUAUUGAUGAUCAAAACAUAAUUGAAAUUGAAUUUAUUUUUUAAAAUUGUAUUUUAAAAAUAUUUUUUAUGAAAAAUUAUUUGAAAUAACAUCAAAAUUAAUUGAUUUUUUUGAAAUUUUUAUAUUAAAUUUUUUUUUAAUAAAAUGAUAAAAUAUUUAAAAUAAUAUUUUAAAAAUAAUUAUUCAAAUCAAAAUUUUAUUUAAAUCUUUUAUUAAAAGAUUUUAAAAAUCAUUUCAAAAGAAAAGGUAAAAUAAACGGAUCCAUAGUCCACUCACUCCUCUACAGCCAAAAUCCUCCUAAGAUUUGUAAUAGAUGAAAAUGAAGAAAGGAAGAAAUUAAAAAAAAGUAUUCAAAGUUAGGGACCAUUUAUACAGAAGAACACAAAAACUACAACAUUUAUACCUGCAAAGGACAAUGUAAAGGACAAUGUAAAGAAAAUAUAAGAAGAAUAUAAGAGGAAACGAUGAGAAGAAUUUGGAAAUUAUUAGAGCUUACUGGCCACGAUUGUGAACAAUUUUGACGGCAUCUUAUUACUUUCCCGAAUUGAGGAUUCAUCUCAUUAGGAUUUUAAAGAUUCAUCUCAUUUAUUUUAG
RNAcentral lists this long non-coding RNA (862 nucleotides) under Lathyrus oleraceus (garden pea). RNAcentral's name for it is "Pisum sativum (pea) long non-coding RNA (PSAT_LNC028098)". Lineage: Eukaryota; Viridiplantae; Streptophyta; Magnoliopsida; Fabales; Fabaceae. The record is from RNAcentral.